RNAcentral lists this ribosomal RNA (557 nucleotides) under Bifidobacterium pseudocatenulatum. RNAcentral describes it as "bacterial SSU rRNA". It matches the Rfam family "Bacterial small subunit ribosomal RNA", at positions 146 to 713 of the family's 1533-position model. The record is from RNAcentral. Lineage: Bacteria; Bacillati; Actinomycetota; Actinomycetes; Bifidobacteriales; Bifidobacteriaceae.
UCUCCUGGAAAACGGGUGGUAAUGCCGGAUGCUCCGACUCCUCGCAUGGGGUGUCGGGAAAGAUUAUAUCGGUAUGGGAUGGGGUCGCGUCCUAUCAGGUAGUCGGCGGGGUAACGGCCCACCGAGCCUACGACGGGUAGCCGGCCUGAGAGGGCGACCGGCCACAUUGGGACUGAGAUACGGCCCAGACUCCUACGGGAGGCAGCAGUGGGGAAUAUUGCACAAUGGGCGCAAGCCUGAUGCAGCGACGCCGCGUGCGGGAUGACGGCCUUCGGGUUGUAAACCGCUUUUGAUCGGGAGCAAGCCUUCGGGUGAGUGUACCUUUCGAAUAAGCACCGGCUAACUACGUGCCAGCAGCCGCGGUAAUACGUAGGGUGCAAGCGUUAUCCGGAAUUAUUGGGCGUAAAGGGCUCGUAGGCGGUUCGUCGCGUCCGGUGUGAAAGUCCAUCGCUUAACGGUGGAUCUGCGCCGGGUACGGGCGGGCUGGAGUGCGGUAGGGGAGACUGGAAUUCCCGGUGUAACGGUGGAAUGUGUAGAUAUCGAAAAAAAACACCACC